Molecule: long non-coding RNA, 5683 nt
Organism: Mesocricetus auratus (golden hamster)
Lineage: Eukaryota; Metazoa; Chordata; Mammalia; Rodentia; Cricetidae
Exons: 3
Source: RefSeq, a predicted model, not a curated record
UAGAAGGAGAUCCUCCCACCCCCGGGCGUGGGCGGGGACUCGAGGCCACGCCCCGUAGGGAGGCGUGGCAGGGCAUCCCAGAACGUGAUCGCGACCCCCCACGGCUAGGAGGCGAGCGCGUCGCCGCCCCGGGAGUACCGCGAGAUGCAUCGUCUCUUAACUCCAGGACAAAAAGCAAAGAGAGAUUCUCCUCAGCCUUUUAAGCAUGCAGCCUAAGCGGAUGCGAUUCCAAUAAGACGUGGUUUUCAACAGUGGACGCGGCAGGGUUCAGCAGACAGCCUUCAGCAUGGGAAGAGAUACGUAUCCAGGCGCAGAGUGUACUUAAACUAUACAGAAUCGUAGUUACAUUAAGCGCACGUGGACAUUUGUACACUGAACAAAAAUAUAGCUACGGACGGGAACUGCGGGUUGACCACCAUCCUUCACCGCACUACGAAACCUGGGGAUAAAAGCAAGCGGCAACCUGUAGUGGACCCCAUUACGGCAACAGGUGAACAAAUUACAGUGCUAGAGGGCCUUAGUCACACAUCCCUCGCGGCUGGAACAACAGUGACAGACAAGAGCAAAGCAGCAAUGCAUUGCAGGCAAAGCUGAGCAUGCCCUCUCUAGCCUAGAUUUCCUCCUCUGUAAAAUGAAUGGGUGACCUCUAAGGUUCUGCCCAAUCCAGACCUGUUGUGUAGGAUCAGGAAGGGGGAAGGUUGCUGGUUUCUGGAAAUACAAGUCUACCUAGCAGACUUCAUGGAAAUGGAGGUUUCCAAAUUCCACUGGAUAGGUGUGUGGUCUGUGAUACAAGCAGAGCUUUGGCUGUGGCAUCUGCUGUUGGGAAGGGGGGGAACACUGACUGCUUCCGGAGAUGGGGAUACCCCAGCCCCGUGCUGGACCCCAGCCCCGUGCUGGCCUGGAAAAGACACAGGCUGAACUCUCCAGUGAGCCCUUCCCACAGUCAUCCUCUUCAUUUUUUUCCUCCAGCUGUCCUCUAGCCCUAAACUGCUGGCCUGACACCCCCUCAGAGAAGAACAGCCCUCUUCUAGUGACAGUAUUGACAACCUGAAAUUCCAAAUAGAGUCUAGUAAGGGCCAAAGUCAAGGUUUGGGAGAGAGGUGCUGCUCGCCUCCUCUCUAGGCAAAUUCAUGGUCCAGGUUAUUUUUUUGUUGCUGUUGUUUUUGUUUUUGUUUUGUUUUUUCAGUCAGGAGUUUUGAGAAGACCACCUACUUCAUCCCAGUGAGAAAUGUAAACAGCUGUCCCCAAAGCUUUGUCAUAGACGCCACUGCCAAAUGUAUUUCUGGGAGAGAGCACUGAACCGAAAGCAACAUGGACAUGAUCCCUCGUUUCCUGGGACUCACGAGUGUUGUAAUUGGUCAUAUGCCACUCUGUCUUUGGAGCCUCGGUUCCCCAUCAACAAGUUAUAAUAUUACAACAUACAUUCCAGUUUUAGACCAAACCCUCCAGUCACCAGUCAAGCCAGGGCAUUUUUGUUUCUCUGGACCCUUUUCUCUAAUUAUAAAGAUUAAAAAUGUGAACUUUUAAAAGGAUUGGGGGGAGAGUACGGGGGUGUAAUUGAGGUCAAAGUUGCUGGAACUCCCUGGAGGUGGUAUUGCAGGCAUCUGUGAGCUGCCUGAAAUGGAUGCUGGGAACAGAACUCAGGUCCCCUGGUGGAGCAGUGUGUGCCUUUACCCAGUGAGCCAACUCUCCAGGCCCUGAGAAUGUAAACUUUAUUGGUGGUUUCAAAAACUGGGACCAACCAGAAUUGCUUGAGAAGUCCUUUUAAAACAUCAUUUCCUGCCUUAGCCCUACUAAUUCACCAAUUUUGAUAAGCUUCAAACACAAAUACCUAAACAGACAGUGCUCACCAGGAAUACCACUUCUAGCUGAGUUCAGCUGAGAGUCAGAGGCCAUUCAGAGAGCGAGAAAAAAACAUGGACAAGGUCCACUCGACCAGGCUGAGAAUCCGGCAUUUCUAGAAGCUGUGCUCUUCCCUGGCUAACUCGGUCUCUCUUCCUCAAACCUCGGGGCUUUUGGCAAUGUGCCUCUGGACCAGUGACUGCUUUUGUUACCUAACCCUCGUCUUACUCUGCCUGCUUGAACUAAGUGAGUUUCUGCCCUGCCCCAAUCUUAUCUUUGAAGACAGAACGCCUGAUGACCAGAAGUCCCUCUUCAGGUGGCUAACUAAAACCGAUCGGGUCUAAGAUGUGUGCUGCAGUGACCGCCCCAUGACUUCUCUAAUUUCCUUAAGACUCUAUGGCAGCAUGCUAAAUGACACCUCUCGGCACCAUGACAGGUGACCAGAAAGAACCACAGAAGGAACAAAAGCAGGGGGCAUCUGGGUUCCUGGGAAACCUCUAUCCACUCCCAGGAAGAUAGAGCUCUUUCUGUCCUUCCUUAGCUCAUUCCUCCCAUGGUUCCUUCACCCAGUGGCUAUAACUCUCUGUCCCUAGCCGUUGGAGCAGCUACUUUGCAAAUUUAUCUUCCAUUACCUCCUUCCCUGUUCAGUGAACACUCACUUUUAUUGUGAAUUCUAUAACUCCGAGAGGGAAAGGGGAACCAGGAAUUAGCUACAGUUUGGCUAAUCUGUCCAAUGCCUCUACAGGCUGUAAUUGAUUCUCUUCAGUUAAGUACUCUAGAUAUUGAGCCUUCACUGACACGGACACUAACAAUUUUGCUUCCCCUCAAGAAGGAACUUAUCCUAAUUUUAUUUAUAUGUAUAUGUAUUUGAUUCGAUUUUUAAAUUUGCUCUUCGGUUGUUUGGGAGGGUUGAUUUAGACUUUCUUGAGUUUAUAUUCUAGGUAGCAAGGAAUAGAGUACGACUUAAUGAAAAUAGGCGCUCCUCUUCUGUACCCAGAAUGACUUGUCACCUGGUUCUUCUCACACAGAGCUAUUUUUCCUCUGUACUUGCCUGUCUGUAAGGAGGUGAGCCCAUUCACUGAUUCACUCCAUCAACAAAUACAUAAAGUGUACCUGCAUAUGUGCCAGCUAUCAUGUUAGAUGCCAGAGUUAUAAAUAUUGGGUCAAAAACAACCUCUGUGCUCAUGGAGUUCACAGUUGACUGCCGGCAGGUGAGUAAACAAACAGGUGGUGUAGCAGCUGAAGCAAUUGAGGUGAGAAGCUGGGUGUGGCGUCCCAUACCUGUAGUCCCAGAUGCUCAGGAGGCUGAUGUGGAAGAGUGCCGUGAGCCCACAAAGUCAAGACCGGUAUGGUCAACACAGCCUCAAGAAGUACGAAUGUGUGUCACAAGAGCCAUACAGAAGACAUCAGAGUGAUUCAUUGUACCUGUCACAGUAGAGGAAGGCGGGGCUUACUCUAGAAGAAUCGGUUAGCCUUCAUUGAGCAAACAUCAGUGGGUAUGACUCUAGGAAUGGAGUCAGAUGGAGUCAGAAAGACACACUGAAUCAGGACAAAGGAGUAGCACUGGAGCUGGGAGAGGGAGGUUGAUGCCAGGAUCUAGAGUCGCUAUUGAAGAACUGGAGAAGAAAUAAGAGGAGCCGAGUCAGGAAGGAUCCUGAAGCUUCUAUUAAGGAGUUUGGACUUGGCCCAGGAGAUGCCAGUUGUCUUCUGUUCUUAACUUCUCUAGUUGGUUCUAUCUCUCUAGGUCUGGUCCAGAGACCCCCAAAGCACACCUAACUAAUCAGCUUUAAGAAUCUUCCCUCCAGCUGGCUCGGCAGCAAGCAGCUCUAAGCCAUGAGCCAUCUCAGCAGCCCCCAAGUCUUAUUGUCAUCCUGGCCUCCUCAGUCCUGUUGGAUCCUACAGCGUUCGGGGCUCAGUUUGGGGUUGUUCCUUCUCCGGUGCUGGAAAGCUAGGAAGAGGAGGAAAGCAGUGUCUUAAGAGGGAGCUGAAAUUCAAGGUGGGAAUGUCUGCCUGGAAUGCAUUGAGGAUGGUGCUUUCUGAAGAGUAGGCGGAACUUCUCAACAUUCACAAGCUGGGACACGUCAGAAGCAACAGGAAGCUUGUUAAACGCAUGGAUGGCCACACUUUCGUCACAGGCUUCUGAUUCCAGGGCUUCAGGGUGGAGCUCUAGCAUCUGCAUUUUAACAAGGUCCCUGGAGUUAUUCAUGUGCACAUGCAGGUUGAGGUGCUUUGUAGCAGAUAACUCAGAGCUGUUCAUCCAGCAAGCACGUACCAAGAACCAGGCCAAAGCAAUGAGCUCGGAAAGAAACUCUUGCCUCACACAGGGCCUGUCAUACAGUGAGCCCUGGUUAAACACCCACACCCCCCAAAAAAAGCCUUCAAAAAGAUGUAUCAUUGCCGGGCGGUGGUGGCGCACGCCUUUAAUCCCAGCACUCAGGAGGCAGAGGCAGGCGGAUCUCUGUGAGUUCGAGGCUGGGCUGGACCGACAGCCUCCAAACAAUACAGAGAAACCCUGUCUCAUAAAAACCAAAAAAAAAAAAAGGCAAUGAACUUGAGAAGUUAGAGAGGUGGGGAAUUGAUCUGGGAAGAAUUAGGGAAAGAAGCAGGAGUGAAAUAAUAAGCUUUCUUUUUUAAAAACAAGAUGCUUGCCAAGGGACGAUAUGAGGAAAAGUUUCCUAGGUGAAAGAAUGUUUCUGACAGCUUAAAGGAUAAGGCUUACCAGCCUCAGAUGUAGAAGUGUAACAGUUAAAGGUGUGGCAGAGUGAUGAGGUGUAUCUGCGUCUUAGGGUACCAGGAAGCGGUAGGAAGGACAGCAGGAGGAGGUCUGUGGGUUUGAGGAUUAGAUCGCAGCAGAUCCACUCAGACGCAGAGUUGGAAUGAAGUCUGUGGGAUAGCACAGUCCAUAACAGCAGGCAAAGAGAACAACUGAGAAGCUGUUACUAAACUGGGUAGUGGGUGGUGCACGCCUUUAAUCCCAGCACUAGGGAGGCAGAUCUCUGCGAGUUCAAGGCCAGCCUGGUCUACAAAACUACACAAAGAAACCCUGUCCUCAAAAAAUAAAAAAUAAAAAUAAAGUUAAAGGAAUAAAAAGGAAGAGAAGAAAAAGAAACUGUUGCUGGAGAAAACCCAUUUGGAAUGAUGUCAGUAGGUUGUGGAGGGAUCAACUCCAAAGAUUUUAAAGUAGUUCCUUCCCCUGAUGGAGUUAGGAUUGUGAUUACUGUGGCGAAACACCAUGUCCAAAAGUAACGUGGGGAGGAAAGGGUUUGUUUGUUUGGCUUACACUUCCACAGCACUGUUCAUCAUCAAAGGAAGUUAGCACAGGAACUCAACCAUGUGGGAACCUGGAGGCAGGAGCUGGUGCGGAAGCCAUGGAGGGGAGCUGCUUACUGGCUUGCUAACCACGACUUGCUCAGCUGCUUCCUUAUAGAGCCCAGGACCACCAGCCCAGGGAUGGCCCCACCCACAAGGGGAUCAGCUCCCUCUCAUCAAUUAAGAAAAUGCCCUACAGCCAGAUCUUACAGAAGCUUUUUUCUCAAUUUAGGCUCCCUCCUUUCAGAUGACUCUAGAUUGUAUCAAAUUGAUAUAAAACUAUCCAGGACAUGGAGUUAAAGGCACAGCAUCUCCCAAAAUGCUCAGUGGGUAUCUUGAUUGUCUGCAGCUGAAAUCGAUUAGAAAUGGUAGCUACCGGGCCAUUCGCCCUGUCCUUUCCUACAUACAGCAAGUCAUAAAGAUUCUUUUUCGAGGAAAGUCCCUGUCCUUCCAAGAUGUAAAAUGCCUUCGGUCAUCAGAGUCUGGUAACUGGGGCCUCGGGGACACUGAAUAAACCACUGCUUUGAAAUUA